This 467-nucleotide ribosomal RNA is filed under the name uncultured bacterium. Its description in RNAcentral is "partial 16S ribosomal RNA". It matches the Rfam family "Bacterial small subunit ribosomal RNA", at positions 28 to 507 of the family's 1533-position model. The record is from RNAcentral.
GUUGAACGCUGACAGAAUGCUUAACACAUGCAAGUCAACCUGCAUUUGGGUCUUUGACUUAGGGUUGGGUGGCGGACGGGUGAGUAACGCGUAAAGAACUUGCCUCACAGCUAGGGACAACAUUUGGAAACGAAUGCUAUUACCUAAUAUUAUGAUAAUAGGGCAUACUAUAAUUAUGAAAGCUAUAAGCGCUGUGGGAGAGCUUUGCGUCAAACUAGCUAGUUGGAGAGGUAACGGCGCACCAAGGCGAUGAUGGGUAGCCGGCCUGGGAGGGUGACCGGCCACAAGGGGACUGGGACACGACCAUUACUCAUACGGGGAGCAGCGGUGGAAAAUAGUGGAAGAAAGACCGAGUGUCUGAAGCAGCCAUUCUGUGUGUACGAUGAAGUUUUUCGGGAUGAAAAGUGAUUUGAGAAUAGACGAAGCAAAUGACGGUACCUGAAGAAGAAGUAACGGCUAAAUACGUG